CUGGCCUCAAGUGAUCCUCCCAUCUUGGUUUCCCAAAGCACUGGGAUUACAGGUGUGAGCUGCUGUGCCCAGCUCUACAUUUUAAAUCACUGAAAAAGAAUCCAAAGAAGAAUACUAUUUUGUGACAUGUAAAAGUUAGGUAAAAUUCAAAUUUCAGCAUCUAUAAAUAAAAUUGUGUUAUGUUUUUGUUUUAAGACAGGGCCUCGCUCUGUUGCCCAGGCUGGAAUGCGUUGGCUCAAUCUCAGCUCACUGCAGCAUCUACCUCCUGGGGGCCAAGUGAUCCUCCCGCCUCAGCCCCGUAAGUAGCUGGGACCGCACGCGCCACCACCACACCUAGCUAAUCUUGUUUAUUUUUUUUUUUGUAGAGUUGAGGUCUCAUUGUGUUGCCCAGGCUGGUCUCAAACUCCUGGGCUCAAGCAAUCCUCCCACCUCAGACUCCCAAAGUGCUGGGAUUACAGGCAUAAGCCAUUGUGCCCAGGCAUAUAAAUAAAGUUUUAUUGACAUACAGCCACACCCAUUCAUUAAGGAUUGUUGAUGGGUGCUUUUGCACUACAAUGGCAGAGUUGAAUAGUGGUGACAAAGAUGUUUGAUUCACAAAGACUAAACUAUUUACUACUAUUCUGUACAGAAGCUCACUGAGGCUUGGACAAGACACUCCUGGCUUUAGGGUGCAGAGCUCAUACAUUAGUACCUUUGAAGGGGAAGAGAGACUGGGAAGCAACAGUGAGUUAGUGUUGAUGCCUAUAAUACCUUUAUACCUGCUAGGGCUCACUAGGUGCAGGGCACUCUCCUUGUUUUACCUCAUUAAGUCCUGAGGCCUAUGGUUGUCCUUACUUUACAUAUGAGGAAACUGAGGACAGAGAGAAGAGCUAAGGAACUUGCCCAACGUUGCAGAGCUAAUCAGUGGCAGAGAUAGGACUUGAACUCGGGCAGUUUACCUCCAGAAUCUGGGCUGUUAGCACGGCACUCUACCACCUCCCAUGGGGAAGAGGGUGGCUGAUGUUGGUGAUGAACACAGCUGUGGCUUUGUCUGCUGAACCUUGCCUGAGCUACCAUCUCACAUGUCAUAAAAACUGCAGGAUAGGGGCUGGGCAUGGUGGCUCAUGCCUAUAAUCCAAGCACUUUGAGAGGCCAAGGUGGGAGGAUCACUUGAACACAGGUGUUCAAAACCAACCUGGGCAACAUAGCAAGACUCCAUCUGUACAAAAUAAUUUAAAAAAUUGCUGGGCAUGGUGGUGUGUGCCUGUAAUCCCACCUACUUGGGAGGCUGAGGUGGGAGGAUUGCUUGAGCCCAGGAGCAGAGGUUGCAGUGAACAAUGAUCUGCACUGCACUCCAGCCUGAGGGACAGAGUGAGACCCUGACUCAAAACAAAAUAAAGAAAAGAAAAUACAUAAAAAAAUAGAAUUAAUUAAUGUAAGAGCAAACUCUUUGGGGUGAGUUGGUUAGAGGAAAAUAAAUAAUUGAAAAGUUAACUAAUCAGAAAAAAAAAAGGAAGAAAGCUCAAAAACACAAUGUUAGAAACAGAGUGGGUGGGGUUCUGUGGCUCAUACCUGUAAUCCCAGCACUUUGGGAGGCCGAGGUAGAUCACUUGAGGUCAGGAGUUCAAGACCAGCCUGGCCAACAUGGUGAAACCCUGUCUUUACAAAAAAUACAAAAAUUAGCUGGUUAUGGUGGCGCACGCCUGUAAUCCCAGCUACUCGGGAGGCAGAGGCAGGAGAAUUGCUUGAAUUGGGAAGGCAGAGGUUGCAGUGAGCCAAGACCACACCACUGCACCCCAGUCUGGGCAACAGAGUGAGUGAGACUCUGCCUCAAAAACAAACAAACAAAUAAACAAAAAACAAACAAACAAAAAGAAACAGGGUGGAGGAAUAACAUAACAAAGAGGAAAUGAAAUGGCUUUGUACCUUGCAAAACUGUGCAAUUAAAUUUGAAAAUCUGAAUGAAGUAGAUUACUUUCUAGAAAAAUGUAACUAAUUGUCCACAGUUUUAGAACUCUGAAAUAAAACAGUAAGCAGAAACAAAACUGUAAAUGUUAACCAGCUUCCCACCCCAAAUCCACCAGACCCACAGAAGUUUUAGAUAAAGUCUUCCAAAUAGCCAAGAAAUAAGCAAUUCUGCUUCUAUAUAAAUUGUAUCCAGGCACGGAGAAAUAAAAGAUAUUUGAACUUUUUGUCAAAGCCAUAUCAAAACCUGAAAAUCAUGUCACAAAGAACAACUAUAUAACAAAACUCACUUAUGAAUAUCUUAUCUUAAAUAAGAUAGUACCAAAGAAAACCCAGCAUAUUUUAGGAAUGUAGGAAAUGCUGUUUUAGGAAAUCUACUAGUAAGCAACAUUCACUAUACAACUUGGCUUAAAAAAAAAAAAGUGGCAUAAAAUUAUCUCAAAAAUGUAAUGUUAUUAGCAUAGAAUUGACAAAAUAUUCUCUUACAGCUUUCUAAGCCUCCACUGUAUUUUUGGCUAAAGUCUGUGUUUGAUUUCCAUUUUUUUUUUUUUUUUUGAGAUGGAGCUUUGCUCUGUCACCCAAGCUGGAGUGCAGUGGCACGAUCUCAGCUCACUGCAACCUCUGCCUCCUGGGUUCAAACGAUUCUCCUGCCUCAGCCUUCCAAAUAGCUGGGAUUACAAGUGCGUGCCAUCAUGCCUGGUUAAUUUUUGUAUUUUAAUGGAAACGGGGUUUCACCAUGUUGGCCAGGCUAGUCUUGAACUCCUGACCUGAAGUGAUCCACCCGCCUCGGCCUCCCAAAGUGCUGGGAUUACAGGCAUGAGCCGCCUGCCCGGCCUUUAUUUCCAAAUUUUGAAAUAUGUGCUCUAUUUUCCUUGAAAAGUCUCUCUAGAGGUUUUUGUUUGUUUGUUUGGGGUUUUUUUUUUUUUUUUUUCUUUUUGAGAUAGCAUCUCACUCUGUCACCCAGGCCAUGCAGUGGUGUGACCACCGCUCACUGUAGCCUUGACCUCCCAGUCUCAAUCAAUCCUCCUGCCUCAGUCUCCCAAGUAAGUAGCUGGGAACACAGGCAUGCACCACCAUGCCUGGCUAAUUUUUGUAUUUUUUGUAGAAGAUAGCGUUUUGCUAUGUUGCCCAGGCUGUUCUUCAACUUCUGGGGUCAAGUGAUUCUUUGGCCUUUGCCUCCCAAAGUGCUGGGAUUACAGGCGUAAGCCACCACACCCCGCCUCUCUAGAGUUUUAUUUUAUUGAUCUUAUCAAAGACCCAGGUCAUGGUUUUAUUUAACAUUUAUUUCUAUUAUUUGUUUCAGUAAUGUCUGCUUUUAUUAUGUUUGAUUCUGUCUACCUGCUACUUUGGGUCAUUUUGUUCUUUUUCAUACUUCUUUUAUGUGAGACAUUUUAUUUUUAAAAUUAUUUCUGAAUAAAAACACUUAAAAUAACAAUUUUGCCUCUGAUUACAGGGUUGUUCACAUCUUAUCAGUUUUGAAAGGUAGGGUUCCUUUUGUUAUUUUGUACAUAAACAGAAGCUGCCAUUUUAAUUUCCUCUUUCCCCCAAAAUAAUUUCUAUAAAUGAUUUUUUUUUAAUUUUAUUAUUAUACUUUAGGUUUUAGGGUACAUGUGCACAAUGUGCAGGCUUUUUAAAAGUUCUAAAUAUUUUGACUUUUUUGUUAACCUGACGUUAUUUAUUUAUAGUUUGUUUUUAUCAGAUAAUUUGACUUGUGCAAUUUCUGCCUUUGGAAUUUUUUUAAGUUUUUAUUUGGCCUGAUAUAUUAUCAUUUUAAAUACAUGUUCUAUGUAUUUUUGAAAAGCAUAUGUAUUUCUUUUUCUCUUUUUUUUUUUUUUUUGAGAUGGAGUCUCACUCUGUUGCCCAGGCUGGAGUGCAGUGGCACGAUCUUGGCUCACUGCAACCUCCGCCUCCUGGGUUCAAGCAAUUCUCCUGCCUCAGCCUCCUGUGUAGCUGGGAUUACAGGCAUGCGCCACCAUGCCCGGCUAAUUUUUUUUUUGUAUUUUUAGUAGAGAUGGGGUUUCGCCAUGUUGACCAGGCUGGUUUCGAACUCCUGACCUCAGGUGAUCCACCUGCCUUGGCCUCCCAAAGUGCUGGGAUCACAGGCCUGAGCCACCACGCCCGGCCUCAUUUUUCUUUUCUUUUCUUUUUUUUUUUUUUUGAGACAAGGUCUUGUUCUGUCACCCUGGCUAGAGUGCAGUGGUAGUGCAUGGCUCACUGCAGCCUCCAUUUCCCGGGCUCAAGUGAUCCUCCCACCUCAGCCUCCCGAGUAGCUGGGAUCACAGGCACUCACCACCAUGCCUGGCUAAUUUAAAAAAAUUUUUUGUAAAGACAAGGGUCUCCGUAUGUUGCCCAGGCUGGUCUCAAACUCCUGGCUUCAAGUGAUCCUCCUGCCUUGGCCUCUCAAAGUGUUGGGAUUACAGGUGUGAGCCAGGGUACCAGGACUAUAUUUCUUGCUAUGUAUCUAUUAUCUAACAUUUAUUAAUUCUGUUAUUUAAAUCCUGGUUCUUUUGUAUUUUGUUCAGUCAGACUGAGUAUAGUUUGUUAAUCUUUAGCUCAAUUUUAGUUUUGUCAACAAUUCUUAUAUUUCUACUGAAAUAAUUACUCUUUUUUUUGAGACAGAAUUUCACUGUUGUCGCCCAGGCUGGAAUGCAGUGGCACGAUCUUGGCUCGCUGCAACCUCCGCCUCCCAGGUUCAAGCAAUUCUUCUACUUCAGCCUCCCGAGUAGCUGGGAUUACAGGCAUGUGCCACCACGCCUGGCUAACUUUUGUAUUUUUAAUAGAGAUGGGGUUUCACCAUGUUGGCCAGGCUGGUCUCGAACUCCUGACCUCAGGUGAUCCACACGCUUUGGCCUCCCUAAGUGCUGGGAUUACAGGCAUGAGCCACCACGCUUGGCCAUGAAUAACUCUUAAAAGACUUUUCCCCUUAUCUAAGUCCUAUAAUAAAAAUAAAUGGCGAUUAUAGUGAAAAUACUUUAAAACCACAAAGCAGAAUUUUAUGUUUUUUGACAAAAUUUUUUUUCUAUCAGUGUUUUUUUCCCCCUUGUUUUUUUAUUUAUUUAUUUUAUUUUAUUUUAUUUUUUUGAGACAGGAUCUUGUUGUGUCACCCAGACUAGAGUGCAGUGGCACGAUCACUUCUCACUAUAGCCCCUACCUCCUGGGCUCAGGUGUUCCUCCCACCUCAGCCUCCUGAGUAUCGGGGAAUACAGGCGUCUGCCACCAUGCCCAGCUAAAUUUUUGUAUUUUUUGUAGCGAUGGGGUUUUGUCACGUUGCCCGGGCUAGUCUUGAACUCCUGGUCUCAAGUGAUCCACCCGCCCCGGGCUCCCAAAGUGCUGAGAUUACAAGCGUGAGACACUGUGCCCAGCCUUUUCUUUACCUCAUAGAUGUCCAUAAAUGUUUUUGUCUUUGGGGGAGAUUAUACUACCUACUGUGAAAUAAUAUUCUGUCCAAAAUGCUUUUGGUUAUGUGUCUGAUUUUGUUCAAAAUUGGUGAGUUUUAGGUUAAAAUUAGUAAUUUAGUAAAAUUACUGAAAUUUACUUUAAAUUACAGGUGAUUCUUUUUUGUUGUUGUGUGUUUUUUUAUUUUUUAUUUUGUAUUAAUUUUUUUUGAGAAGAAGUCUCA
Long non-coding RNA from Symphalangus syndactylus (siamang), 5563 nucleotides. RefSeq lists it as uncharacterized. NCBI's taxonomy places the organism in Eukaryota, Metazoa, Chordata, Mammalia, Primates, Hylobatidae. The record is from RefSeq and is a predicted model, not a curated record.